This 341-nucleotide ribosomal RNA is filed under the name uncultured Bacteroidota bacterium. RNAcentral describes it as "bacterial SSU rRNA". It matches the Rfam family "Bacterial small subunit ribosomal RNA", at positions 575 to 916 of the family's 1533-position model. The record is from RNAcentral. Lineage: Bacteria; Pseudomonadati; Bacteroidota.
GCUGCGAGGCAAGUCAGCGGUCAAAAUGUCGGGGCUCAACCCCGGCCUGCCGUUGAAACUGUCCUGCUAGAGUUCGAGUGAGGUAUGCGGAAUGCGUUGUGUAGCGGUGAAAUGCAUAGAUAUGACGCAGAACUCCGAUUGCGAAGGCAGCAUACCAACUCGCGACUGACGCUGAGGCUCGAAAGCGUGGGUAUCGAACAGGAUUAGAUACCCUGGUAGUCCACGCAGUAAACGAUGAAUACUAACUGUUCGGAGGGCGACCUCUGAGUGGUAAAGCGAAAGCGUUAAGUAUUCCACCUGGGGAGUACGCCGGCAACGGUGCAACUCAAAUGAAUUGACGG